GUAUCUGCUCCUGUUGAUUUGCAUACACAAAGUGUGUGGUGAGUUCCCUGUAGAUAUAAGAUGCUAUAAAUGUUCUAUUUCCUAUGUGACGUCUCAGUGAUCUGCACCUGACACUGCUCCUACUGUCAGUAUGGGGAGAUACUUACUGCUUGUCCUCUCCACUCUCUUCUCUCUCACUGUUCCAGGUUCCUAUGGGCAGAUUGUACUGACUCAGUCUCCAGAUUAUGUCUCUGUGUCACCAGGAGAAACUGUCACCAUCACAUGUAAAGCCAGUAGCAGUGUUUAUAACUAUAUAGCCUGGUACCAACGGAAAUCAGGGCAGGCACCAAAGCUGCUGAUCUAUGCUGCAAGCACCCGACACACAGGGACCCCAGAGCGGAUCAGCGGCAGUAGGUCUGGAACAGAUUACUCUCUUACAAUCAGCAGAAUGGAAGCAGAAGAUGCAGCAGAUUAUUACUGUCAGCAGCAUUACAAUUCCCCUCUCACACAGUGAUACAGAGCUGAACAAAAACCUCCCUGUUACUGUGCCAGUGAGUUAUUUACAUGUUACUCUAUAAAGCUACAGAGCAUGACAUGAUAUUCUCAGUAGGGGAAGACUUGAGCUCUAUAGAAUUAUAAUUGCUAGGCAUCAGUUUGAUUAAUAAAAAAAAAACUUAAAUGGAGGCUGAUAAAUUCUAACCAAUUUGAUCCCUAUGAUCUCAAGAUGUCUUGGAAAUGAUUUUAUUUAUUUUCAUCCUUGAAGACGGGCCAAACCC
Xenopus laevis (African clawed frog) is the source of this 755-nucleotide non-coding RNA. NCBI's taxonomy places the organism in Eukaryota, Metazoa, Chordata, Amphibia, Anura, Pipidae. The record is from the annotation of a RefSeq genome assembly.